RNAcentral lists this unclassified non-coding RNA (380 nucleotides) under Hevea brasiliensis (rubber tree). Lineage: Eukaryota; Viridiplantae; Streptophyta; Magnoliopsida; Malpighiales; Euphorbiaceae. The record is from RNAcentral.
GCCAAAUCAAAAUAAAUCACAAUAAUGCAUUCAAACUAUUAAAGUUAAACCCCAUUCUCUCAGAUAGCAUAAAUCACCAUGCACUCUACUCCACUCUAAGAUUGCGAGUAGAGCCCAAAAGGAGGCUAUUGCAUGCAAGCCAAAGCCCAAUCCCAUUGGUACAUUUUAAAUAAAAGACGCUUUUAAAAUCUUCCAUUAACAGUAAUCAGAGGCUCUUCAUGGUUAACAUUGAUAGAGAACUAGUUUCUUUGAUAUGUCAGAUUGGUUAGGUUCGGUGUUCUAACUUAUUUGCUUCAUUUUGGUUAACAUUUAAAAGAAUUUGAUAAAAUUCAAUAAGCAAAAAAUUUUGAUUUGGUUAAUCAAAUACACAGCCAUAAAUU